UAUAUUUUAGUAUAUGAUGUAUAGAAGUUUUUGAUACUUCCGGAGGUAGUUUAAAUCUGCUAAAUAUAA
RNAcentral lists this transfer RNA (69 nucleotides) under Pseudabris przewalskyi. RNAcentral describes it as "tRNA-Gln". Lineage: Eukaryota; Metazoa; Arthropoda; Insecta; Coleoptera; Meloidae. The record is from RNAcentral.